GACGAACGCUGGCGGCGUGCUUAACACAUGCAAGUCGAACGAAGAGCGAUGGAAGCUUGCUUCUAUCAAUCUUAGUGGCGAACGGGUGAGUAACGCGUAAUCAACCUGCCCUUCAGAGGGGGACAACAGUUGGAAACGACUGCUAAUACCGCAUACGAUCUAAUCUCGGCAUCGAGGAUAGAUGAAAGGUGGCCUCUACAUGUAAGCUAUCACUGAAGGAGGGGAUUGCGUCUGAUUAGCUAGUUGGAGGGGUAACGGCCCACCAAGGCGAUGAUCAGUAGCCGGUCUGAGAGGAUGAACGGCCACAUUGGGACGGAGACACGGCACAGACGCCUACGGGAGGCAGCAGUGGGGAAUCUUCCGCAAUGGACGAAAGACUGACGGAGCAACGCCGCGUGAGGGAUGACGGCCGUCGGGUUGUAAAGCUCGGUUAAUCGGGACGAAAGGCCUUCUUGCGAAUAGUGAGAAGGAUUGACGGUACCGGAAUAGAAAGCCACGGCUAACUACGUG
This 510-nucleotide ribosomal RNA is filed under the name uncultured bacterium. RNAcentral's name for it is "partial 16S ribosomal RNA". It matches the Rfam family "Bacterial small subunit ribosomal RNA", at positions 28 to 507 of the family's 1533-position model. The record is from RNAcentral.